CAAACUGAAAUGGUUCACACUGCCACCUAGACUGUGUUUGAACAGGUUGCGUUGGACAAUGUUGAUGAUGGCAGUCCAACUAGCAGGGCGAGAGGCAGGGCUAGAGGGAGAGCCAGAGGACGGACAGGCAGAGGCAGGCAGCAGAGAGACAGAAAUGAGGAUGAGGAGAGGCUUUUUGCUCUCUGACAUGAUAGAAUGGCUGCCACACAGGAAUUCCUCAUCACGAAGCUGGAUUAUGCAGACAACAGAGCGGUGGUGCGAGAGCCAGGAUUGGUUUUUGAUGUCCUAGAGAUUUACCGACAGCGGAAUGGCCGGUUGUGGUUGGUCCUCUCCAGGAGUCUGAGGUGUGGGAGGUUCCUCCGCCCCCUCUGGACAAUGAGGGGGCCCCGACAUAUUCAGUUCGUACUUUACUGGACUCGAGUUGCCGGGCAAGGGGCCUUCAGUACCUCUUGGAGUGGGAGGGGUAUGGUCCAGAGGAGAGGUGCUGGGUUCCGGUGGAGGACGUGUUGGACCCUUCAAUGCUGCGGGAGUUCCACCGUCUCCGUCCGGACCGCCCUGCGCCUCGCCCUCCGGGUCAUCCCUGAGGCCGGCGUCGGCGCGCUGCUGGAGCCGCGCGUCAAGGGGGGUACUGUCACGACUUUCACAAAGUCUGUUCCUCUCCUUGUUUGGGCGGCACUUGGCGGUCGACGUCGCCGGUCUUCUAGCCAUCGCCGAUCCACUUUUCAUUUGUUUUGUCUUUGUUUCCCACACACCUGGUUUUCAUUUCCCAAUUACUGGUCAUGUAUUUAACCCUCUGUUUCCCCCAUGUCUUUGUGUGUGAUUGUUUAUUAUUCAGGUUGGUACGUUUCCGGCUGGUUUUGUCCGGGUGCUGUUUUCACAUGUUUUUUGUGGCAACCGUUAUUGUUCGCACAUUGGUACUGUUACUUGUGCUAUUUCUUAAGUAAAGUGCUUUGUUCACACA
Molecule: long non-coding RNA, 961 nt
Filed under: Salmo salar (Atlantic salmon)
Lineage: Eukaryota; Metazoa; Chordata; Actinopteri; Salmoniformes; Salmonidae
Description: lncRNA (ENSSSAG00000116471.1)
Source: RNAcentral